AGUAAAUUGGUUAAGUUAGAAAGGGCGCACGGUGGAUGCCUUGGCACUAGGAGCCGAAGAAGGACGGGACUAACACCGAUAUGCUUUGGGGAGCUGUACGUAAGCGUUGAUCCAGAGAUUUCCGAAUGGGGGAACCCACUAUCUUUAGUCGGAUAGUAUCCUUACGUGAAUACAUAGCGUGAGGAAGGCAGACCCAGGGAACUGAAACAUCUAAGUACCUGGAGGAAGAGAAAGAAAAAUCGAUUUCCUGAGUAGCGGCGAGCGAAACGGAAAGAGCCCAAACCAAGAAGCUUGCUUCUUGGGGUUGUAGGACACUCUAUACGGAGUUACAAAAGAAAGUUAUAAAUGAAGCGGUCUGGAAAGGCCCGCCAAAGACGGUAACAGCCCGGUAGUUGAAAUGGCUUUCCCUCCAGAGUGGAUCCUGAGUACGGCGGAACACGUGAAAUUCCGUCGGAAUCCGGGAGGACCAUCUCCCAAGGCUAAAUACUCCCUAGUGACCGAUAGUGAACCAGUACCGUGAGGGAAAGGUGAAAAGCACCCCGGAAGG
This 547-nucleotide ribosomal RNA is filed under the name Listeria monocytogenes. Its description in RNAcentral is "partial 23S ribosomal RNA". It matches the Rfam family "Bacterial large subunit ribosomal RNA", at positions 1 to 534 of the family's 2925-position model. The record is from RNAcentral. Lineage: Bacteria; Bacillati; Bacillota; Bacilli; Caryophanales; Listeriaceae.